Molecule: ribosomal RNA, 460 nt
Filed under: uncultured bacterium
Lineage: Bacteria
Description: bacterial SSU rRNA
Rfam family: Bacterial small subunit ribosomal RNA
Source: RNAcentral
CCUANGGGAGGCAGCAGUAAGGAAUAUUGGUCAAUGGACGAAAGUCUGAACCAGCCAUGCCGCGUGGAGGAUGAAGGUCCUCUGGAUUGUAAACUUCUUUUAUAUGGGACGAAAAAGGGUCUUUCUAGACCAACUGACGGUACCAUAUGAAUAAGCACCGGCUAACUCCGUGCCAGCAGCCGCGGUAAUACGGAGGGUGCAAGCGUUAUCCGGAUUCACUGGGUUUAAAGGGUGCGUAGGUGGGUUGGUAAGUCAGUGGUGAAAUCCCCGAGCUUAACUUGGGAACUGCCAUUGAUACUAUCAGUCUUGAAUACCGUGGAGGUUAGCGGAAUAUGUCAUGUAGCGGUGAAAUGCUUAGAUAUGACAUAGAACACCAAUUGCGAAGGCAGCUGGCUACACGAAUAUUGACACUGAGGCACGAAAGCGUGGGGAUCAAACAGGAUUAGAUACCCCGNUANUC